This 777-nucleotide long non-coding RNA is filed under the name Chinchilla lanigera (long-tailed chinchilla). Its description in RNAcentral is "lncRNA (ENSCLAG00000027624.1)". The record is from RNAcentral. Lineage: Eukaryota; Metazoa; Chordata; Mammalia; Rodentia; Chinchillidae.
CUGGGUGCGGGGACCCACACUAUCUAUGCGAGGUGGAAACUUGGGUAGUUUGCCAAAAAAUUCUUUCUGUUGCCCUCAAGCAGCUUACAGCCUAGUCAGGAGGCAGACAGUAAACAGAUGGUUGCAGUAUAUUAAGUGAAGAGGUACAGAGCCCUGACUGUCUCACAGGGGACCGAUCUAGGCUAGGAGGUGGAGAUGACAUUUGAGCUAGGGUCUGAAGGAAAGGGCAAGAGUAAAUCAAGAAGAGGAGUUUAAGGAGAGAGAUGAGAAAUGUGGGCAUCUUUUUGUCAGAGGGGGCAUUUAUCAUUUGACUUUUUCUUAGAACAGGUGAUACUCAAAAGAUUGAAUUACCAAAGUGGUACCUUUAGAAGCUGCAGAUUUUGUAAGUGGCCACAGGAGGGCGCCUGUGGAAAAGCCCCUGCCGGCCGCAAGCACCUUCACCAUGAGCUCUUUGUAGUGCGUGGGACCCUGGCUGGUGACUGAGACAAUUGAGGAAGAUGGAACCUCCUGCAACGGAGGAGGAUGGAAGUAGGGAGAGGCCUGAUCUUCAAGUCAAGAUAAACUGGAGACCUGUAGGCCGGGAGCCUAGCUCUGUGCUGCUGGAAUUGGAGCUGGGCAGUCCGGGUUUAAGAACUGGCUCUCCCGCCCCUCACUAUGUGGUCGUGAGUAAACCAUUUACCCCUCAGUGCCAGUUUCUCAUUGGAGCCCUUCCCUGGGGAGUUUGUUGUGGGAAUUAAGUGAGAUGAUAGAUGCGUGCUCAUUGCAGCACCAGAGCAG